Molecule: long non-coding RNA, 486 nt
Filed under: Brassica napus (rape)
Lineage: Eukaryota; Viridiplantae; Streptophyta; Magnoliopsida; Brassicales; Brassicaceae
Description: long non-coding RNA (BNAP_LNC024570)
Source: RNAcentral
AUGAAAUAGCAAUAGUAACAAGUGAAGUAAAUAGUAAAUGUAACUUGGUUGGAAAUGAUAUUAGAUGCAUGGCCACUAUUCAGGUGUUGGAGAUUAUAAUAUCUAUAGAUGCCUAUUUGUUGCAUGCAUGAUAUGUUAGAGCUCAACCGCUUAACUCAGUGAUCAGCAUUCGCAUGUUAACAAACUAGAUCUCGUUUCUCAACGGUUAGUAUGUUGACAACGAAAAAGUGUCGAUCGAUGGUCCGAUAGGGACGUCAACCGAUACACCUUUACUUACGUCGACCGAUAGUCAGUUGAGGACAUCGAUGACAGGUUCUGGCCAGGCCUAUGCGCGAGUAUGAUAUGCCCUAUUAAGAUACUAAAUUGGCGGUUAGCCCUCUCUAGCAGUCCUAAUAUGAUAGAUAGAUGUCAGGAUGAGAUAACAAGGGUGCUUGAGAAUGUAAUCCUAUGAAUACAAAUCUAUCAUGAAUUUCACAACAAGGCAGA